Molecule: ribosomal RNA, 458 nt
Filed under: uncultured bacterium
Lineage: Bacteria
Description: partial 16S ribosomal RNA
Rfam family: Bacterial small subunit ribosomal RNA
Source: RNAcentral
CCUACGGGAGGCAGCAGUGAGGAAUAUUGGUCAAUGGCCGAGAGGCUGAACCAGCCAAGUCGCGUGAGGGAAGACGGCCCUACGGGUUGUAAACCUCUUUUGUCGGGAGCAAAGCGAGUCACGUGGGAAUCAUUGAAAGUACCCGAAGUAAAAGCAUCGGCUAACUGCGUGCCAGCAGCCGCGGUAAGACGGAGGACGCGAGCGUUGUGCGGAUUUAUUGGUGUUAAAGGGUGCGCAGGCGGAGGGGCAAGUCAGCGGUCAAAUGGUGGGGGUCAACCCCGUACUGCCGUUGAAACUGCAUCCCUUGAGUGCGCGAGAGGUAUGUGGAAUGCGUGGUGUAGCGGUGAAAUGCAUAGAUAUCACGCAGAACUCCGAUUGCGAAGGCAGCAUACCGGCGCGCAACUGACGCUCAUGCACGAAAGCGUGGGUAUCGAACAGGAUUAGAUACCCUGGUAGUC